This 8024-nucleotide long non-coding RNA is filed under the name Eucalyptus grandis. Its description in RNAcentral is "long non-coding RNA (EGRA_LNC003458)". The record is from RNAcentral. Lineage: Eukaryota; Viridiplantae; Streptophyta; Magnoliopsida; Myrtales; Myrtaceae.
AAGGUUUUGUGUGCUUCUUCCCAUAACUAUAACAUGGGCGACAUUUGACAAUGCGCGCAUACAUGCAUGUGUAUCCUCGAUAUUGUUGUGGUUUAAUCUGUAUUGUCUUACCUACACGCUCUAUCCUUCCAUCCCGUACUGUGAUUAGUUUAGUCAACCUCAUUACUAAAGAUUAAGUCGAUGCAAAAUAUUUUUAAGGCGACUCCUCCGUAGUACAAAGGUAGAAACUUUUUUAUGACAUCUUCCAUGUAGCCACCUUCUUGGCGACAAGGUGUUUGAAAGUGAAAAUCGAAAAAUUAAACUGCAUAACCUUACCGAUUACCUAACAUCAUUCUUAUUCCGGAACUUUACACAAGAUGAAGACGAGGGCCAUCUAUGCAAAUUAUGCAGGAAACGUGGAGUGGCCGAGUAAAGAUUCGCCAUCUUUUGCAUCAGUGGUAGGGUAUUUGGACCCGAGAGUGGACCUUGACAGCCGCCUGAAGCAGGAAGACGCACGGUAUAAUGCAUACUUGUCCAUGAUGGCUGCUAAGUUGUCGUACGAGAAUGAUUCUUUCGUUGAAACCACCGUCAGAGAUCGUUGGAAGGUUCAUCCCUCACUAACCCUCAAUAUGAUAUCGACAGACAAACAUAUAGUUAUCAUACAUCAUUGAAUUUAAUCAUAGAGAAUAUGAAAGAUGAUUGCAAUAUGAUAUUUUUUCAUCUAAACAACAUGGAUAAAGCUAUCCACUGACCUGUUUAGUCAUCUGGAAGGAGUUUUAGCUUAAUCAAAACCAUCCCUUUGUGCUUGGUGAUGACUAGGACUGACUUUUCUCCUCUUCUUUUUGUCUUUUUUAUGGCUUUAGAUGGAAUUCUUGCAGUGUGGGGACUUUUGGAAUGGUACGUAUUAUCAUAUCUUCUGCAUAUCUAUACAUAUUACUGGUCAAAUAUGGUUUUCAACUUAGUUGCUUGCUUAAUUAAGACAAUAUAAAAUAAGUUGUGCAAUCUUCGUGAUCUUACACUAGCUAAUCGUUCACCACAUAAUAAAAAUUCAAGGACAACCCCAAGAAUCACGGAUUGUAAUCUUAUAUAGUUGAAUUAGAUUAUACUUAUGUAUCAAGCAAUAUGACUUUGAUCCCGAACUCAUAUAAGAGCUACACGGGAACUCCCCAAAUAUAAAACAUUGACAAUGGUUGGAUUUUUAUUGACUCUUGAUGAGAAGCAGUAUUAACCAUGUAUAGAUAGUUUUAUUUUUUCUUUUUUAGAUGCUAUUAAUACACUGAAGUUUUGCGCAUGGUCGUGGAUCCUCAACCCUGCAUGGUGCUCCAUUCGGUAUCUCAAUAAAUCUAACUCAUUGACUUACAAAAAUGGGAUUCAAUUCAAUGGUUGAGAUUUAUCGAGACACCGAGAGGCGCACCGUACUAAAAAUAUGAUUUUCUCCAUCAUAUUAAUAGUUUCUCAAUAAAUCUAACUCAUUGACUUACAAAAAUGGGGAUUCAUGUCAAUGGUUGAGAUUUAUGGAGACACCGAGAGGUGCACUGUACUAAAAAGAUGAUUUUCUCCAUCAUGUUAAUGGUUUCAUAUAAUAUGCAAGAGAAAGAAUGAUAUUUUUGAAGUAUCUCAUACUUUUUCCGAGAAAGAACAAAAGGGAAUGCAAAGCCCUGAUUCUUAUCGUUUUUGGAAAAUCUAAAAGGUCAAGAUACAAGCUGGUCGAUGUUAUUAUUCAUUGCACAUAUAUUGUCACCACAUAUGCUUCAUUUAAGAAGCCUAAUAAAAAGCAUACAACAAUACAAGCACUUCUUACGAACAAAAUAUAAUGUCGGGGACUUUACAAAUUCAACCAUUCUUUUCUCUUUGAGAGAAAUCACAAAGCCAAAUUGAAGUUGCAAAAUAAUAAUAAUAAUAAUAAUAAUAAUAAUAAUAAUAAUAAAAGAAACAGGGUUCUAUUUUGAGUGAUUUUUUUUUUGGUUGAAAUUUUGAGUGAUUUUUUUAGUUUAAAAGAAUUUAUAUAUAUGAAUUCACUGGAUAUAUAUAUGGUUUUGUUUUUCUUAAAUAAGCUAAGAAAUAUAUGCUUUGUUGACCCGAUUCCUAACAGCUCAAACUUUUUGAAAAUGUAAUUAUUUUGACAUGGUAUCAGUAAGCGUUUUAUCAUAUACUAUUCGAAUUUGCUCUUGCCAUAAGAAGGAAAGUUGCUUUGAUAAUAAAAAUCCCGCAUCCUCAUGUAGAUCACCUGGAGCAACACUCUACUCGAGCCAUCAUGUUGAAAGACCGAGACCUGAUCGUGUUGGCAUUUAGGGGCACCCGCCCUUUUGAUGCGGACGCAUGGCGCACCACCAUCGAUCUCUCUUGGUACGAGGUCGAGGUCAAGCUUGAAGGAGAAGCGGGGCUGGAGUGGGUGAGCAUCCACGGCGGCUUCAUGAAAGCCCUGGGCCUACAAAAGGGCCGAGGAGGGCUCAAGGAGAUGGAUGAGGUAGCCGAGGAAGGCAAAAGCUAUGCUUAUUAUGAGAUUAAGGAAAUGCUAAGGAAUUUAUUGAAGGAGAGAGGGACAAAGUUCAUAGUGACGGGGCAUAGUUUGGGAGGGGCACUUGCCAUCCUAUUCGUGGGGGCGUUGUGCAUGCACAAGGAGGAUGCAAUUCUGGAUAAGUUGGAAGGAGUGUAUACAUUUGGGCAGCCGAAGGUGGGGGAUGAGAGAUUUGGGGAGUACAUGAGGAGGAAGAUUUGUCGUCAGGUGAAGUACUAUAGGUAUGUCUAUUCAAGCGACCGUGUUCCUAGGAUGCCUCGUGAUGGCAUGGUCUUUGGGUUCAAGCACUUUGGUCCUUGCCUCUACUUCAACAGCUUGUACAAGGGGAAGGUAUCACCAUCUCUCUCUCUCUCUCUCUCUCUCUCUCUCUCUCUCUGAGUACUUGAUUAAGAGACGUGUCUUGAUAGUUUACGCUCUUACAUUGUAACUGACCAUUUCUUUAUUGCAAUGGACCAAACUGUGCUGUGCAUGUAAGUUACGGGCUUAAAAGGACCCAUGGGAUGGGUAAGUAAGGAAAAGGAGGGCUCGAUGCAACACAGCAACCAUGCAUAAAUAUCGCGCCUUGUAUAUUUGGCUCUCACGCUCUCCUAAUUACGUGACGAUUGAUUUCAGGUGUUAGAUGAGGAGCCGAACAAAAACCGCUUGCUGUUGUUAUGGCUCAUACCAAACAUCAUGAAUGCGAUUUGGGAGCUGAUGAGGGGCUUCGUCAUGCCGUGUCUGAGAGGCCGAGCAUACCGAGAGAGCUGGGUCUUAUUACUGUUUAGGAUGGUCCGCAUUGCAAUUCCAGUACUGUCUGCUCAUUCACCUCAAGAAUAUGUCAAUAUGACUCAACUCGGCUCCUUACGCUCCCAUGAGAUAAGCUAGAUCCAAUCAAUCAGGACCGUGAUCUAUGGACCAACGAGAUCCUGAAUGGGAAAAAAAAAGUUGUGUUAGGUCUUACGGCCGUGUCAAUAAAUUUGGAAAACGUACUUGUCUAAGAGGGCAAACUGAUGUUCCUUCGAGACAGAAUUAGUUACUUGCACUGCAUGCUAUUGAGAAAUUCUGUAUGUGGUGGAUUGAGAGAGAAUAAAACCCUAAACGCUUGAAGAACCCGUUGGGGUGUGCAAUAUGGUUAAGUGGUAUACUUCCUCAGGCUGAGAGGAGACGGUCUCUAUGUGUCACUAAUUUGAUAUAUAUUCUUAUAGCUUUUGUGGACCAUCUACAGUGCAAGAUCGAAGUUGAUUUAUGAAAUGAACCUAAAUAGAGAGAAAAAUGUUCAUGGUGAGAUCUAAAACUGACUCACAGAGAAUCGGCAAAAUGAGAUGAAUAGCGAGGAGGAAUACUAAUGCUGCCAAGCUUCACGUGAGAAGGCAUGGGAAUGCUAACAGCCCAGUACAUAAAAGGAGCAUGAAGAAUAAAAAAAAAAAGAAAAAAAAGGAGCUUCGCAAUUAUAUAAAAAUUACACAAUUAGGUUAUUGGGUUACUCGAGUAAAAUAUUUUCAAGUUUGAGCCCUCGAGCUGAAUAAGUAUUCCAAUUGUUGCUCAAAUUCAAAAAAUUUUACAUACGGCGAGCUACAUUAAAAGGAGCUUCAAGGACAUACCUAUUAUUUGGAUAUUUAGCCGAAAUGACUACAUUAGCAAAUUGUCAAAAGAUUUAAGAUUAAAUUGAUAAAUCAUCAAAAAAAUUUAGAACUAAGUAGACACGUGAGAGGUUUAGGAAUUAAAUUGGCAAAUCGUCAAAUAGUUUAUAACUAAACUAGUACAAUUAAAAUAUUUAGAAUUGAAUUGACCUCCGUUCAAAAAGUUUGGGACUUUUUGGACAAUUCCUCCAUGCAAUAUAGGUUUCUCUACGAAAACCAAUGGUGAUAUAGCUCUCCGUGAUCUUGGCAACUCUGUUCUGAUGUUAUCAACGAACAUACAUGACUAUUGGGCACAUAUUAGUACCAUAACCUCGGUGACAUUCUACCUAUCGGUUACUCUCCUUUCUUGAUUUCGGAACAAUGGAGAAUAGAAUUGAAAAGUUUUAAAGUUUUGGAUGGAAUUCGGGAAUUUGCCAAAGUUAUAGAGUUUGUUAGGUAAUCGGGCUUUUUUCUGUUUAAGCAAUGUUUAAUCGAUAGCAUAACACGGUUCGUUGAACAAAAAGUUUGUGAAAAGAGAAAGGGAGGUGUGAGCAUGUAUGUCUUAGCACAAUCAAGCAAGCAAAGUACACUCUCGAUAGAAAAAGCAGAACAUCUCGAUUCGAUUGAAGUAGCAAAGAGUCUGGAGAUGUCCUGAAUGACAGCCACCAAUUGGGAAUUUUCUAGGUGGUCAUCCCCGAGGCAAAGGAACUUCCCACCUUUCUUGUGCCAAUUGGAAUAUAUGCUUAGUGCUCCGACUCAUGCGAUGUCGCACCAGAAAAGGAGAAAUCACACUACACGAGAUCGGGCGUACUUCUCUUUAUCAACAACGUGAUGCACGCCCCGAAAUUAUUCGAUGGACGUAGUACAAUCUAGACCAUUAAAUCUGAUGAGACCCAUAUGUCUUAAUAUUCUUCAAUUCAUCUUGCAGAUGAGUCUCUUUCUAUAUAUUUUGGACCGUCUCCGUUUGCAUUGCACACUCAUAGACUUUAGGUGUUUCAAGUUCGUGAGACAUUGUAAUAACUUCCCACGUUACAUGCCACCUUCAUCUUCUUUGCUUUCGGAGCCAUCCAUGGAAGAUGAUGACAAGCAUUGCUACCUUGAGCUUAAUCAUACGCGGGCAGGCUUUCUCGGCCUCGCUCGCCUCCUGUUUCAUGCGGACGUGUCCGAGAGAAAAUACAUUGGAUGCCACGAAAACUAUAAGAAGGAGCUCAGGGAGUUUGGGCAUAGAUGGAUUAUCUUCAUCUCCAUUGUCGGUCAGAAAGUCCUACACUUGUUCAAGGGAACGUUAGAGUGGCUCGGGAAGAAGUUGGAGUUCUGUCUUAAUCUCCCGUCGACCAACGGAGGAUUUCUCAAGCUCGUCACCAAUGCUCUCAAAGGUUUCGUGUGCUUCUUCCCAUGACUACAAACAUGGCCAACAAUUGAUAAUGCGUGCAUACAUGCAUGUAUAUCCUCAAUAUUCAUGUGGUUAUAAUUUAUAACUCCAUUUGUUUCGCAAAAAAUGAGAUAUUUCUAGAAAUUAUUUUUUAAGAAAUCAUUUUAAAAGAAAAUUACAAUAUUUUGUUGCGUUGGUUGAAGCCUAGAAAUGAACUAGAAAAUAUUUUCCAUCAUUUAAUAUGGAAAUUAAAUUUUCCAGGAAAAAAUUACCAUAAAAUUUAAAUUUAAAUUAUUUUUUAUAUAUUUCCUUUUUUUUUCUCUCUUUUUCUUUCUUUUCAUUUUUCCUUCUUCCUUGGUCAAUGGCCAGCGACAAACGAAGGAUCGGCGAGCUCGAGCCUUGCCAAAGGUUAGCAAGGUCACCUCAAUGAGACUCAAGGCUUGAGCUCAUCCCUCGCCCAUGGCCAAUCAUCGAUUGUCAUCUUGGCUGGCCAUUAGUCGAGGAAGAAGGGAAAAAAAAUUUGAAAGAAAAAAAUAAUUAAAAAAUCGAUUUUUUUAAAAAUAUUUUUAUAAGAACAAACAUUUCAUUCAUCAAGGACCCAAGCCCGAACGUUAAGGACUUGCACACAACCUUUGUGAGCUGGAGCUCAAGCACUAGGGACCCAAGCACGGUGUUUUUGGAGCUAGGCUAGGGGCUAGGGAAUCAAGCACGAGCACCACAAUUUCGAGCCCAACCUCAAUGCAUUCAGGCAUGAGUGCCAGGGGUCCAGGCUUUGCCUCACUGGACCUGGGCCCGACCGUUGGAGACCUAGUCCUAAACAUCGAGACCUGAGAACUAAAGCUAGGGUUUUCAUGCCUAUGCGUAGAGUUUUGGGUUCAAGUGCCGAUACUUAGUCAUAUUUUAAAAAAUAUUUUCGGUCAUUUCAAAGAUAAAAUCAUUUUCCUGAAUUUAAGCAUGGGUUUUCUAUUAAUAAGGAAAAUAUUUUUUAUUGACUCAUUUUUUCUAAGCAAAUCAAACGUCUAAAAAUAGGGGUGUGCAACGGGAACCGCCCGAACCGAGAACCGGCCGGACCGGACCGAACCGGCCGGUUUUGGGCGGUUCCCACGGUAGGCGGUCCGGUUCCCGGUUCCUAAUCUUGGAACCGGUGGCCAGUCGGUCCGGUUCCCGGUUCUAAGGUGGGAACCGAACCGAACCGGACCGAAACAAAUUUUUUUUAUAUAUAAUUUAUAUACAUAGAAUUAAUAAAAUAUAUAAACAUGAUAACUUAUUGCAACUAAAAUUGCAAUUUGAGGUAACAUCAUCUUAUGUGGCCAAGAGACCAUUAAAACUAUUUUUAUUACUCUUUUAUUUAUAGAAAAAAAAUCUCCUUGUUAGUUUUUGUUGGAAAUAUGAUUUGUUUUUUUAUUCUAAUUAUCUAAAUACGGUUAAUUGAUUCUAUGAAUCCAUGAGAUUGGAUAUUAGGACAGUAGUAUAGGAAACAACAUAUUUUGUAUAUUCUUUCCUAUCGUACUCUUUUCUUGUAUUAUUAAUAGGUGUGUAAUACAUGUACAAACACAACAAUACACAAUACAGAACAUUCCUCCAAUUCCUUCUCAGUUUUUGUCAAUUUUCUUUCUCAUUUUCUAUCAGUUUCAUCUUCUACUUGAUGUGGGACUAAGGUUCCAAGAGACCCGCAAGGCACUUCAAGCCUCCAAAGAGUCCCACAUUGACUAAACAUUUAAAGAGCAGAGAUUGUCUAUAAAAUCUAAGCCAUGCAUAACUUUUAGCCAAAUUAUUCACGUCUUUCAUGGUUAAAGUUAAGUGUGAAACACACAAAGUGUGAAUCACAUUUGAAUAUUUUGCACGUGGAAAAUGUGUGAUUAGUUUUGUUGAAUUGCUUGAGAACCGAAUUGGAUUGAUUGGUCCGGAGCGCAGUCACUCUUUAGUGCAAAAAAGUAGAGCCGAUUUUGUUGGACCGGACCGGACCGGAUCGGAAUCGAUGGUCAGUCCGGUUCCCGGUCCUAGGACCAAACGGUCCGGUCCACGGUUUGCAAUUUUGGGAACCGGUGCUCCCGGUCCGGUUCCCGGUUCCAAGGUGGAACCGGACCGAACCGGGAACCGAUCACCCCUAUCUAAAAAUAAGAAAAACUUUUUUCACGAAACAAACGAAACCUAUAUAAUCUUAUUCACAUGCUCCAUCUAUCUGUUGCAUACUAUGAAUAGUUUGGUUAAUCUCAUCACUGCGGAUUAAGUAUGAAAUUUUUUCCCGCCGACGGCUCCUCCUUGGUACAGAGGUAGAACCUUUUUGACGACAUCUUCCAUAAAGCCGUCUUCUCGGUGACAAGGUGUUCGAAAGUGAUUAAGACUUCAUAAAACCAUACCUAGCAUCAUUCUUAUCCCCACACGAGAAGAAGAUGAGGGGGUCACGUCUGCGAAUUUUGCAGGAAACGUGGUGCGGCCGGCGAGAGACUCGCCAACUUUUGCAUCAGCGGUAGGGAAUUUGGACCCGAGAGUGGACCUUGACAGCCACCUGAAGCAUGGAGACGCACGGUAUAAUGCAUACUUGUCCAUGAUGGCU